CUGAGUCACCCAGGUGCCCCUCUCCUGUCAUUUUAUUAAAAAAAAAAAAAGUCACUCGAGUUUGUGCAUGCUCGGCGAGGCAGGCGAGACCCCAGACCAGAUGCCAGAGGCCCCGCUGCAAAUCCCACACCAGGAUCUUGCACAAGCUUCUGUUUCCUGGAUCUGGCCUCCGACUAGUCCAGGAACAGAGUGACUACCUAGUUUCGUUUUCCCGCUCCGGUGCGCCUAUGUUCAUAAAGGCGAAGGCCCCGCCGAGCGCAGACCUCGCGCUGCAGACGCCCGCCCGCGGGAAGCGCACUCCCCGCCCGCCCGCGUCCACGCCCGCCCGCGCCCCACGCGCACGCCCCUCGCUCAGGAGCCCGGGCUCCCCAACCUGAGCAGAAAGCCCGAGGGGACGGCCGCCUCCCAGGACGGCCCGCCACCACCAUGAGUGAAAUUCCUAAGGACCCCUUGAAGGCCAUUCUGUUGGAGUUAGAAUGUCACUUUACAUGGAAUUUACUUAAGGAAGACAUUCUGUUUGAUGUGGAAGAUACAAUUGGGCAGCAGCUUGAAUUUGUCACCACAGAAUCCAGACUUAACUCUUUAUAACCUAUUGGCCUAAGUGAAACACCUAAAAGGCCAAAAUGAAGAUGCCCUAGAAUGCUUGGAACAAGCAGAACACAUAAUCCAGCGAGAGCACUCGGACAAAGAAGUUCGACAUCUGGUCACUUGGGGAAACUAUGCCUGGGUGUAUUAUCACAUGGACCAGCUUAAGGAAGCUCAGAAGCAUUUAGACAAGACAGGGACCACCUGCAAGAAACUGUCCAGUCCUUCUGACUACAAGUUGGACAGACUUGAGAUUGACUGUGAGAGAGGGUGGGCACUCUUGAAAUUUGAGGAAAGUAUUACCACAGGGCAAAAGCGGCUUUUGAGAAGGCCCUGGAAGCGGAACCUGACAAUCCAGAAUUUAACAAAGGUCAUGCCAUCACAGUGUACCAGCUGGACGAUACUGACAGACACGGGUGUAUAAAGAGCUUUUCUCUGGGCCUGCUGAGGAAGGCUGUCGCCCUGAACCCAGGUAACGCCUACAUUAAGGUUUUACUGGCACUGAAGCUUCAAGAUGUACAAGCAGAAGAUGAAGGGGAAAGGUAUAUUGAAGAAAUCCUGGACCAAAUAUCCUCCCAACCUCAUGUCCUUCGUUACACAGCCAAAUUCUACAGGAGAAAAAAUUCCUGGGACAAAGCUCUUGAAGUUUUGAAAAAGGCCUUGAAGGUGACACCAAUGUCUUCGUUCCUGCAUCACCAGAUGGGACUUUGCUAUCGGGCGCAAAUGAUCGAAAUCAAAAAGGCCACAGGCAACAGACCUAAAGGGGAGGAUAAACUGAGAAUGGACAGGCUUAUUACAAUGGCUAUCUCUCAUUUCAAAGUAGCUGUGCGAUGAGACUCCAAGUUCCCAUUUGUCUACACAGACCUGGCCAACAUGUAUGUCAAGGCAGGCAAGUGUAGUAAGGCUGAAGAAGUUUUCCAGAAAGCAUUUCAUCUGGAGAACAUAACUGAUGAUCACAAACAUCAGAUCUACUACUACUAUGGCCGCUUUCAGGAAUUUUACUGUAAGUCAGAAAGUACUGCCAUCCACCAUUAUUUAGAGGCCUUAAAGAUCAGCGACCAGUCAUCCCUCCGUCCCAAACUGACAAGUGUUCUGAAGAAAUUGGCUCUGAAGAGACUUGGUCAUGAUGCUUCAGAUGUGCAGAGUUUAUGUGCCCUAGGGCUUGUUUAUAAGCUGGAGGGAGAAGAGAGGCAAGCUGCUGAGUACUAUGACCGGGCCCAGCGGAUAGAUCCAGAAAAUGCAGAGCCCCUUGCUGCUCUCUGUGAGCUUCGACUUUCUAUUUAAAUAUAUACUCUAGGAAAUUGUUUUUUAAGCUUUUCUUACCAUUUUGGGCUCAUAUAUUUUUGUUUAUUGUUUUAAUCCAUUGGUUUUUUUUUUUUCUUCAAGAUUUUAUUUAUUUAUUUGACAGAUACAGCCAGAGAGGGAACACAAGCAGGGGGAGUGGGAGAGGGAGAAGCAGGCUUCCCGCGGAGCAGGGAACCUGAUGCGGGGCUUGAUCCCAGGAGCCUGGGAUCAUGACCUGAGCCAAAGGCAGACGCUCAACCAACUGAGCCACCCAGGCACCCCCCCAUUGUUAAUUAUAGAGCCAAUUUUUAUUGAAUGUUUACUGUAUACCAGGCAUCAUACUAAAUGUGAUGAAUCUUUUGGCUUUUUUUUUUUAAUUAAAAUACUGUAUCCAUUUGAAAACAGAAACAUUCCAGAUGUACCUUUCAAAAAUGGUAUGGCAUUAUGACUAUAUCCCCUUUAUCUCUGUUAUUUAUAAUUUUCUGAUUAGGGGCACUUGGGUGGUUCAUUCGGUUACGCGUUUGACUCUUGAUGCUUGUCCCUCUCCCUCCACCCCUCCCCCCUUCCUCUCUUUCUCUCAAAUAAAUAAAAUCUUUAAAUAAUAAUAAUAAUUUUCUGAUUAAAGUUUGUCAUAUUUCCCAUACUGCUCACUUAUGCAGUAAGCAUAAUCCUACAUAAGCCUUUGACCCCUAGUCAAGAACGCUCUUUCAGGAGUGCAAAAUUAUAUUAGUUAAGCUCUUAACUAUGUAGCUUGCAAAAGAUGGAUCCUAUCCAUUUCUGACUCUGAUGAGGAUAUUUAACCAUUAGCCUGAUAGUCACUUAAAGAAUCCUUUUUGUUGAAAGAAAAAGCUCAUAAUAGUAAAAAGUCUGCCAUCUUUGAUGACUUCAAUAAAAGAAAAAAACUAAAACCGGGGGAAAAGGAUUUCUUUAAAUAUAGAACUUUAGGGACCCAUGAGAAAUCAGAAGUGUUAUCUCCCCAAAAUGUUCACUGCGUAACUAGAAACAGCUGUGAGAAAAAAAUGAACAAUGGAAAAUCGUUAGUCUCAAGUUUCUCUGGUCUUUUAACUAGAAGAAUAAACCGAACCUAAAUGGAAUUAAUUUUAUUCCAACUAAAACUGCAGAGUUUUUGGGUUAAAAUUAUUGAGACAGACAGCAGAUUGAGAAAUUGGGAAAAAUGAUUAAAAAAAUGGGUAAAGUAGAUGUCCCCGUUCUACAUCCAUAGAUUACCAGGGUUUCAGUGAUUUGGUUUUGAGUCUGGACUGGGUGGUUCUUGUACCUCCAAUUUCUGGCCUUUCGUUAACUCCUUUAGUAUUCCAAACUUACUUCUGUAUAGCUUUUUCUUUUGCCUGAAGGUUUCAGAUUUACACGUUUUCCUGUAGAUCUUUCAGGAAUAGUUAAGCCCUACUUUUGGUUUGAAUAUCCACCUUGAAGGGUCUAUUGCUUAAGGACUCUUAUCCCUGGGGGGCUUUUUAAAUUGAGAUGCUGAUGAAAGUGGUUUAUUUUUUUUUUUUUUUUAAGACUUUACUUAUUUGACAGAGAGAGACACAGUGAGAGAAGGAACACAAGCAGGGGGAGUGAGAGAGGGAGAAGCAGGCUUCCCGCCGAGCAGGGAGCCCGAUGUGGGGCCCAAUCCCAGGACUCCGGGACCAUGACCUGAGCUGAAGGCAGACUGAGCCACCCAGGCGCCCCGAAAGUGGCUUCUUUAAAGUUGUUUCUUUGAUUAUCAUCUACAGUUAUAUUUACCACCACAGUAUUAGUGGAAAAGUGUGCCUUGUGGUUUGAUUCUCUAUACUGCCACUGCCUAAAGACUACUAUGUAUGUUUACUUUUUACUUAUUGUUACUAUUUUUAUUUUAAAUUUCUGUUAUGAUUUUAUUACAAAAAUGAUGAAUUCUCAUUGUAAAAUUUUAAACAGAAGCAUAUGAAUUUAAAAGUAAGGAGCUUCUCCUCACCCUAACCCAAUUCCACACCCCCCUGGUAAGUUGUUAACAAUAUGUAUCCUUCCAGAUGUGUUUUCUAUGCAUAUUCAAACAUACACCCAUACUGCAAUAUAUUUCAUGAAUUAAAACUUUUUAAAAGUUUGAUUUA
This is an RNA transcript of Mirounga angustirostris (Northern elephant seal), 3956 nucleotides long. It is a transcript of the gene named interferon-induced protein with tetratricopeptide repeats 5-like, with no coding region annotated. The transcript has 2 exons. The record is from RefSeq and is a predicted model, not a curated record. NCBI's taxonomy places the organism in Eukaryota, Metazoa, Chordata, Mammalia, Carnivora, Phocidae.